UGUAAUUAAGAUCAAGCUUAAGGCCCUUUUAUUAAAACAAAACAAGUCUUUACAAACCGGGCCCAAAAUUGACCCGGCCCACCAUAAAAAAGGCAACAAACAAAAGAAAAUAACAAAAGGAAAAUGAAAGAACUUUCUGGACCCUCAAAUUAGGAAAGUAACGUCUCUACCAUUGUUCCUUCUUCGUCCUUAAAUCAAAUGUGCCUCCUCCGCUUGAUGUAGCUACUGUUAUGACGGUCUCAAUUAGCAUGUGAGUUCCAUUUCAGAUUGUAGCUCCCGUCUUUCAGAUCUUCUCAAAGAUAAACAUAGUAUCUUCUACUAUUCUUUCAAUUCUAGCUAUUGCUAUGCAAUAGCUUGAAACCUUAAUUGGUACUUAAAGUUUUGAUUAAUCUGCUAAUAGGAGCAUUUGUACUUCUGAAAUGGACAUCCUUAUUUCGAUUUGGAUUUGCGGUGAACAAGAUUCUGUUGCGUCGUUAUGUCGGGUUCAAAUUUUUCAUUGAUUGGAAUGAGUCACUGUCGAUCUAGACUUAUUAUACAUUAAAUUUUGGGAGAUGUAAUAAUCAGGAUUUCUAUAUUUAUCUAUUUAAAUUUGAGACUUAUUAUUC
Molecule: long non-coding RNA, 605 nt
Organism: Capsicum annuum
Lineage: Eukaryota; Viridiplantae; Streptophyta; Magnoliopsida; Solanales; Solanaceae
Exons: 2
Source: RefSeq, a predicted model, not a curated record